Molecule: ribosomal RNA, 320 nt
Filed under: uncultured eukaryote
Lineage: Eukaryota
Description: partial 18S ribosomal RNA
Rfam family: Eukaryotic small subunit ribosomal RNA
Source: RNAcentral
CCCCUAGAUGUUCUGGGCCGCACGCGCGCUACACUGAACAGUUCAACAAGUCUUAACCUUGGCCGAUAGGUCUGGGUAAUCUUUGAACGCUGUUCGUGAUUGGGAUAGACCUUUGCAAUUAUGGGUCUUCAACGAGGAAUUCCUAGUAAACGCAAGUCAUCAGCUUGCAUUGAUUACGUCCCUGCCCUUUGUACACACCGCCCGUCGCAUCUACCGAUUGAAUGGUCCGGUGAAAUCUCGGGACGGCGGCUUGGUCGCUUGCGUCCGACUGCUGAAACUUGAUUAAACCAUAUCAUUUAGAGGAAGGUGAAGUCGUAACA